UACGUAGGGCGCAAGCGUUGUCCGGAAUUAUUGGGCGUAAAGAGCUCGUAGGCGGUUUGUCGCGUCUGCUGUGAAAACCUAAGGCUCAACCUUGGGCUUGCAGUGGGUACGGGCAGACUAGAGUGCGGUAGGGGUGACUGGAAUUCCUGGUGUAGCGGUGGAAUGCGCAGAUAUCAGGAGGAACACCGGUGGCGAAGGCGGGGUCUCUGGGCAGUAACUGACGCUGAGGAGCGAAAGCGUGGGGAGCGAACAGG
This 254-nucleotide ribosomal RNA is filed under the name uncultured bacterium. RNAcentral describes it as "partial 16S ribosomal RNA". It matches the Rfam family "Bacterial small subunit ribosomal RNA", at positions 524 to 776 of the family's 1533-position model. The record is from RNAcentral.